RNAcentral lists this ribosomal RNA (468 nucleotides) under uncultured bacterium. RNAcentral describes it as "partial 16S ribosomal RNA". It matches the Rfam family "Bacterial small subunit ribosomal RNA", at positions 28 to 507 of the family's 1533-position model. The record is from RNAcentral.
GACGAACGCUGGCGGCGUGCUUAACACAUGCAAGUCGAACGGAAAGGCCCUGCUUUUGUGGGGUGCUCGAGUGGCGAACGGGUGAGUAACACGUGAGUAACCUGCCCUUGACUUUGGGAUAACUUCAGGAAACUGGGGCUAAUACCGGAUAGGAGCUCCUGCUGCAUGGUGGGGGUUGGAAAGUUUCGGCGGUUGGGGAUGGACUCGCGGCUUAUCAGCUUGUUGGUGGGGUAGUGGCAUACCAAGGCUUUGACGGGUAGCCGGCCUGCGAGGGUGACCGGCCACAUUGGGACUGAGAUACGGCCCAGACUCCUACGGGAGGCAGCAGUGGGGAAUAUUGCACAAUGGGCGGAAGCCUGAUGCAGCAACGCCGCGUGCGGGAUGACGGCCUUCGGGUUGUAAACCGCUUUCGCCUGUGACGAAGCGUUAGUGACGGUAAUGGGUAAAGAAGCACCGGCUAACUACGUG